AUAGCUUCUUGGCCUUUUGGCUAAGAUCAAGUGUAGUACAGUUACUAAGUUUAUUACCAGACAGACAUUAGGUAUAACAUAAAACCCAAUUUGGCAUAUAAUUUACAUUUUCUGCAAUUUGGCAAAUAUUU
RNAcentral lists this small nuclear RNA (131 nucleotides) under Suricata suricatta (meerkat). RNAcentral describes it as "U2 spliceosomal RNA (ENSSSUG00005010532.1)". It matches the Rfam family "U2 spliceosomal RNA". From Rfam's summary of the family: U2 is a small nuclear RNA (snRNA) component of the spliceosome (involved in pre-mRNA splicing). Complementary binding between U2 snRNA (in an area lying towards the 5' end but 3' to hairpin I) and the branchpoint sequence (BPS) of the intron results the bulging out of an unpaired adenosine, on the BPS, which initiates a nucleophilic attack at the intronic 5' splice site, thus starting the first of two transesterification reactions that mediate splicing. The record is from RNAcentral. Lineage: Eukaryota; Metazoa; Chordata; Mammalia; Carnivora; Herpestidae.